This 497-nucleotide ribosomal RNA is filed under the name uncultured bacterium. RNAcentral's name for it is "partial 16S ribosomal RNA". It matches the Rfam family "Bacterial small subunit ribosomal RNA", at positions 28 to 507 of the family's 1533-position model. The record is from RNAcentral.
GAUGAACGCUGGCGGCGUGCCUAAUACAUGCAAGUCGAGCGAACAGACGAGGAGCUUGCUCCUCUGACGUUAGCGGCGGACGGGUGAGUAACACGUGGAUAACCUACCUAUAAGACUGGGAUAACUUCGGGAAACCGGAGCUAAUACCGGAUAAUAUAUUGAACCGCAUGGUUCAAUAGUGAAAGACGGUUUUGCUGUCACUUAUAGAUGGAUCCGCGCCGCAUUAGCUAGUUGGUAAGGUAACGGCUUACCAAGGCAACGAUGCGUAGCCGACCUGAGAGGGUGAUCGGCCACACUGGAACUGAGACACGGUCCAGACUCCUACGGGAGGCAGCAGUAGGGAAUCUUCCGCAAAGGGCGAAAGCUUGACGGAGCAACGCCGCGUGAUUGAUGAAGGUCUUCGGAUCGUAAAACUCUGUUAUUAGGGAAGAACAAAUGUGUAAGUAACUAUGCACGUCUUGACGGUACCUAAUCAGAAAGCCACGGCUAACUACGUG